RNAcentral lists this ribosomal RNA (265 nucleotides) under uncultured bacterium. RNAcentral describes it as "partial 16S ribosomal RNA". It matches the Rfam family "Bacterial small subunit ribosomal RNA", at positions 793 to 1055 of the family's 1533-position model. The record is from RNAcentral.
GUCCACGCUGUAAACGAUGGGCACUAGAUGCUGCGGGUAUUGACCCCUGCGGUGUCGUAGUUAACGCGUUAAGUGCCCCGCCUGGGGAGUACGGUCGCAAGAUUAAAACUCAAAGGAAUUGACGGGGGCCCGCACAAGCGGUGGAGCAUGUGGUUUAAUUCGACGCAACGCGAAGAACCUUACCUGGGUUAGACAACGGUAGACAGCCUCAGAGAUGAGGUCUUCUCUUCGGAGACUGCCGGUUCAGGUGCUGCAUGGCUGUCGU